GAUCCUGGCUCAGAAUCAACGCUGGCGGCGCGCUUAACACAUGCAAGUCGCACGAGAAAGGGGCGCAAGCCCUGAGUACAGUGGCGCACGGGUGAGUAACACGUGGAUGAUCCACCUCCUUGUGGGGAAUAACCUGGGGAAACCCGGGCUAAUACCGCAUACGCUCGAGAGAGGAAAGCCGCAAGGCGCAGGAAGAGGAGUCCGCGGCCGAUUAGCUAGUUGGUGGGGUAACGGCCCACCAAGGCGACGAUCGGUAGCCGGCCUGAGAGGGCACACGGCCACACUGGCACUGCAACACGGGCCAGACUCCUACGGGAGGCAGCAGUGGGGAAUCUUGCACAAUGGGCGAAAGCCUGAUGCAGCGACGCCGCGUGCGCGAUGACGCCCUUCGGGGUGUAAAGCGCUUUCGGUCCAGAGGAUCAUGACAGUAUGGGCAGAAGAAGCUGCGGCUAACUACGUGCCAGCAGCCGCGGUAAUACGUAGGCAGCGAGCGUUGUUCGGAGUUACUGGGCGUAAAGAGUGCGUAGGCGGCAUGGCAAGUCUGGUGUGAAAUCUCCCGGCUCAACCGGGAGGGUGCGCCGGAGACUGCCAAGCUUGGAGUACGGGAGAGGCACGUGGAAUUCCUGGUGUAGCGGUGAAAUGCGUAGAGAUCAGGAGGAACACCGGUGGUGUAGACGGCGUGCUGGACCG
Molecule: ribosomal RNA, 690 nt
Filed under: uncultured Acidobacteriota bacterium
Lineage: Bacteria; Pseudomonadati; Acidobacteriota
Description: bacterial SSU rRNA
Rfam family: Bacterial small subunit ribosomal RNA
Source: RNAcentral